GGCAGGUGAGGAAAGGGGGCCAUUGGGGGCCCUGAGGCAGGAGCAGUGCUGGAGCCCUUCACUGCUAGGGACACACAUGGACUCAAAGCCAGGGGGCAGCUGGAGAAAUUUCCCCUCCAUCGGAGGAGCACACUCUGAAUUCCAG
Long non-coding RNA from Dermochelys coriacea (leatherback sea turtle), 145 nucleotides. RefSeq lists it as uncharacterized. Lineage: Eukaryota; Metazoa; Chordata; Testudines; Dermochelyidae. The record is from RefSeq and is a predicted model, not a curated record. The transcript has 3 exons.